GACGAACGCUGGCGGCGUGCUUAACACAUGCAAGUCGAACGGUAAGGCCCUUCGGGGUACACGAGUGGCGAACGGGUGAGUAACACGUGGGUGAUCUGCCCUGCACUUCGGGAUAAGCCUGGGAAACUGGGUCUAAUACCGGAUAGGACCACUGCCUGCAUGGGUGGUGGUGGAAAGCUUUUGCGGUGUGGGAUGGGCCCGCGGCCUAUCAGCUUGUUGGUGGGGGGAUGGCCUACCAAGGCGGCGACGGGGAGCCGGCCUGAGAGGGUGAACGGCCACACUGGGACUGAGAUACGGCCCAGACUCCUACGGGAGGCAGCAGUGGGGAAUAUUGCACAAUGGGCGCAAGCCUGAUGCAGCGACGCCGCGUGAGGGAUGACGGCCUUCGGGUUGUAAACCUCUUUCAGCACCGACGAAGCGCAAGUGACGGUAGGUGCAGAAGAAGGACCGGCCAACUACGUGCCAGCCGCCGCAGUAA
Molecule: ribosomal RNA, 478 nt
Filed under: uncultured bacterium
Lineage: Bacteria
Description: partial 16S ribosomal RNA
Rfam family: Bacterial small subunit ribosomal RNA
Source: RNAcentral